Molecule: long non-coding RNA, 4068 nt
Filed under: Sus scrofa (pig)
Lineage: Eukaryota; Metazoa; Chordata; Mammalia; Artiodactyla; Suidae
Description: lncRNA (ENSSSCG00015004057.1)
Source: RNAcentral
UCAGCUUAUGGAAGUUCCCAGGCUAGGGGUUGAAUUGGAGCUGCAGCUGCCAGACUCACCCACAGCCACAGCAAUGCCAGAUCUGAGCUGAGUCUGUGACCUACACGACAGCUCACGACAAUGCUGAAUCCUUAUUAACCCACUGAGCGAGGCCAGGGAUGGAACCUUACUAAUGAAGUGAUGUAAGUUAUAUGUUUUACAAGCAGAUGCUGAGGAAUGAGUAAUUUAAGAGACUUGUGAUUGCUCUUUUUACCUUUCGCCUUUCUUCCCCAGGGCAUACUUUUAGCAUGGGAACUUGUAUUUCAUUAGAAGGAAGCAAGCCCAGUUAUUCAUAAACAACUGUAAGAACCAUCCAAAUAUUCUGCAGCAUUUAUAAUACAGACCUAAUAGAGCAUUAGCAUUUAUGUGAAAGCAGUUGGAUCACCGAAUCUUCCUUUGACUCAUUAGUUAGGAUGACAAGAGAGUCGUGCCCCACCCCCAGUAUAGAUCAGGAGAGAGUUUAAGUUACGAACUUAUUUGGAUGAAUUCUUAACUAUAGCAUUGUACUAUUUUUAUUUAGGGAUGUAGUGUUAGUUGAAAUGGUUAGGAAAGAAAUCUGCUAAUUUAUUCAUUUGUCCUUUUAAUAGUUAGUGAGACCCCGGUGUGUGCCAGUCAUGGCCAGUGCUGUUUUAUGUGACCUGCAGUUCUUGAAGCCGUUGAAUUUCAUUAGUGGAGGGAUAGAGACAUGUUGGGAGGAGCUUUGAUGGCUAAGUAGGAGCCUAGUGGGUAAGUUAGUGCAGAGUUGUGAGGAGAUGUCGCAAAAAGUCCCAUGGAAUGAAUGGUGUCUGAAGCUUUGUGGAGUGUAUGGACUGGCCUUGGUCCCUUUUGUCUGUAGAAUUAUACUGCAGGCAGUUCAGGCAGUGGGACUGAGUGGUAGACUUAUUUUCCUACAUAGGCCACUUACAGUGGUAUGAAUUUGGACUUUUUAUUUAGUUAGCCAUCUCUAAGGCUUUCUGAGUCAGUCCAAAUUCAAUUGUCAAUAAAUAAAUCAGUUAUAUAUCUUACUGAUAAUAGAGGUUAUGCCAUUCUUUGAUGUGGCAGCAUUACUAGGACAUAUAAAGCAAACCUAUUUGUGUCAAGCAGCAAAAUAUUUAAGUAUAGUUACUAGGAUUGUUACGGUCUCCUAUUGGGUAACACUCCUUUUAAAGAUAUUCAUGGCUUGUGAGUGUUUUUAGAGAUGCUCAUAGGAUGUAUGGUAGGAGCUGUGAUUCCCUUGUGAGUUGGCCUUAGAAUGUGAUUGUUUAAUAGAAUUAGUCCAAGCUUAGAUUUGUAUUUUUGUUCUUUUUUUUCCUUUGCUUUUCAAAACCAUUGUGUAUUACUCCAGUACCAGUUUCUUUUGGCUUGGGAAAGGAAAGGCUGAUACCAGUGCAGGCAGAAUUCAAGUUGCAUGGCUAAUGAAGUGGGAGACCUGAACCUGUGAUGUCUUAGCUUUCUGUGUAACUUGGUUCUCUUUAUCUUUUUAUUGACCAUAUACAAAAGUGGUGUUUCUGCCCUCCUCUUAUUCUUGUUGGGGGUUGGUUUUUCUAAACAUGGCUUUAGUUGGUAUGUACUAAUUAGGAAUUCAUUCCCCUAAUUGUGUCCUUGGAGGCAGCUAAGGUCAUUGGUUAGCAGAAACAAAGUAUUGAGUAGUGGAGUCUGCAAAGAAUAAACCUAAGUACUUCGUAAAAGGGGCUUUAUUUUUUUUUAAGACAGCAGAUUAAAAAUAUCAGCCUUUUUUGGAUUGGUUUGUACAUUUUAUGUAAGACUUUAGUCUCAGUUGGAUUACAGAUGGUUUACAGUUAUAUUCAACACACAACAGUUGGGAAUGAAUGCCAAAGUCUGUUUUGGAAUCUUGCUUAAAGUAUUCUGUGUGCUGAAAAUUAAAAUGAAACGCUUCUGCUUUUAUUUUACUUGGACACUUGGAAGAAAAAAAACCUAUGAAAACUUUGGAUAAGAUGGAUGAAAUUUGGCAAGAGAAUCUGAAUAAUUGGAUUUUUUAAAUGGCAUUGUUGCAGGAAAAAAUAUACAAAUUUACCUUAAAGUCCACUUUAAGAAGGACUUCUGUUCUUGAAGCAUGUAUAUUGGAGCUUUUGUCAAGUUGGAGGUAAUAUGGCUAAAUAGAUAAACUUGAAAAGGGUCAGUGAUUCUGUUCUUUACCCCUGUGUGCCAUUAUGGGAUAAGAAGUGACCUUUAUUUGAUGGAAAAGGAGGGAAGAACCAAGAAGAAUUCUGUCUGAUGGGGUAGAGGAGUUGCCGCAGGGGUGGCAGAGGACUACCAGCAUUAAUAUCAGAGUUAAACAUUGAUUAAAUGACUCAGAAGAAAGUACAGUUGCCACCAUGUAAAACCUUAUCAAGUGUGUCAUGAACUAGAUCUAUAGGAAGGGAGGUUGGUGGGAUUGUAGCUAUCAUAUUCUUUACUAUUUUUAUACUUUUUAUUUUAAGAAAGUAGUGAGCAGUCUGGUAAGCAUGAAUUAAUGAUCCUUGUGGGCAAUGAAAAUAUCUACGUUGGGGAGUUCCCUACAUGCCUCAGUGGUAACGAACUUGACUGGUAUUCAUGAGGACACUGGUUUAGUCCCUGGCCUCACUCAGUUUAAGGAUCCGGUGUUGCCGUAGGCUCUGGUGUAGGUUGCAGAUGUGGCUUGGAUCCUGCGUUGCCGUGGUAUAGGCUAGCAGCUGCAGCUCCAGUUGGACCCCUGCCUAGCCUAGGAACUUCCAUAUGCUAUGAGUGUGGCUCUAAAAAAGAUUAAAAAAAAAAAAAGAAAAUAUCUACUUUGGGAGAGGGAUAAAGCUGUAAUAUUUGGAAGAAAAACUGAGAUUGAUUGGAUAGAUUUAGGUCAAAACACUUAAUUGGAAGAAAUAGAACUAGGGUAGGAAAUACCAGAACCUUGAUAGAAACCACUCUUUCAGAUUGUGUUUUCAUUUUGGAGAACAACCUUCACCUUUGCAUUUUGGCUCAGGUCUAGGAAUGCAUGAAGAACAAACCUUUUUUAAAUUAAAAAAAAUUUUUUUUUUCCUUUUUAUGGCUGCAUGUGCAGCAUAUGGGAGUUCCCAGGCUAGGGGUCGAAUCAGAGCUGCAGCUACAGAUUAAAAUUAACAUUUAAUUAAAAAGUAAUAGCUUAGUAGGAAAAAAGUGGGGAAGGUUUUUUUUUGUUUGUUUGUUUCUUUUUUGUCUGCCUUGCAGCAUAUGGAGUUAUUGGGCCAGGGCUCAGAUCUGAGCCUCAGUUGCAGCUAUGCCACAGCUGUAGCAGCACCGGGUACUUUAAACUACUAUGCCGGGCCAGGCAUCGAACCUGCAUCCUGGCGCUGCAGAGACUCUGCGAUCCCAUUGUGCCACAGUGGAAUCUCUGGAAAGGUUUGUAAUAGGUAUUUCAUAAAAGUAAAAAGCAAGCAAAUUAUAAAACAAAAUAAAUAAUGUAACAUUUAAAUCUUAAUAAAAAGCUGUACAUAGAAACAUACUACCAUUUUUAAACUCUAGUACUUCUGACAUUUAGAGUUAACUAACAAUGCUAAUAAUACCUAUCUUUUUAGGAUGCAGAGAAUGUGAACCUACUUAAAUCCUUGUGACAGUUAAAAUAACUACAACCUGUGUGACCUUUCAAAAACUUGAAUUUUUACUGUUCUUGACUUCUUAAUUUAAUUCUAAGAUUUCAUCUUAAAACUAUAACAAGAAAUUAUAAUUAAAAUACAUAUGUAAACAGAAAUGUUGAUCACAAAGUUAUAUAAAAAUGAAAUAGUGAGAACCCAAAUUACCAAAAACAAGAGAAAUAAAAGCUAUUUUAAGAGAGCAAUGAAAUGAAAUAUAAUCGUGCAGACAUUAAAAAUUUAUUGUUAUUGGAGUUUGCAUCAUGGCUCAGAGUUAUGAACCUGACUAGUAUCCAUGAGGAUGUGGGUUUGAUCCCUGGCCUCACUCAGUGGGUUAAGGAUCAGGCAUUGCUGUAAACUGAGGUGUAAGUUGCAGACUUGGCUUGGAUCCGGCGUUGCUGUGGCUGUAGCACAGCUCUGAUUCGACCCCUAGCCUGGGAACUUCCUGCUGCAUGUGUGGCUCUAAAAA